RNAcentral lists this long non-coding RNA (580 nucleotides) under Anas platyrhynchos (mallard). RNAcentral's name for it is "lncRNA (ENSAPLG00020016841.1)". Lineage: Eukaryota; Metazoa; Chordata; Aves; Anseriformes; Anatidae. The record is from RNAcentral.
UGUAAUUGAACAUCAAGGAGGAAAAAUCAGUGUUUUGCCUAAAACCAAACCAUAGCCUUCUGUUCUGUAUUCUGUACCAAGACUUCAGCUUCCAAAUACAAAAUGGAUAGUUUCAUCUUUUGACAUGCAGACUUACUCCAGAGGCCAGCAGAAACUGUAGAUGAAGAGGAAAAUGCAGAAGAGGAAGAUGACAGGGAAGAGGAGGAGGCAUAUAAACUAAAGGAAGAAUAUCCAGAAAUGAAUGGAGAGGAAAGCAGGGAAAUUGUUAAAAAAAGAAAUAAAGUGGAAGAAAAUGAGAAGAAAUUAAAUGGGAAUUAUAAACACAAUGCAGAAGAAACAGAGAAUGUUGACCAACCAGAGGAAGAGGAACUCACCCAUUUAAAUUCCAAGAUAAAUGAGGAAAAUAGUGAGGGAAUUGAGCAGUUGAACAGCCAAGGUAAUUUGCAGUCUAAAGAGGACAUAAAAGAAAAGGAGUAUUUUGACAGUCAGAAACAGGUUGAUUCCCAUAUCGAGAAAACAUCCACAAAUCCAAGGGUGACAAUCACCAGCCCACAGGAAAAUGGAAAAAAAGGACCAGAAC